CGCCAUUAAUCUAGCCCAUAAUACCAUCUCUCAUUACUUAUUUUUACUGUCAAAUAAACCAUUCUCAACCUCAAGUAAAUGCGAUUGAAAAAGAACUUGGAGCUAUAUAACUAGUACCGCAAGGGAAAGAUGAAAUAGAAAUUAAACAAAUAUUUAAGCACAAAACAGCAAAGAUAAUAUCUUGUACCUUUUGCAUCAUGGUCCAACAAGUCCAACCAGGCAAAAAGAUUUUUAGUCUGAUCCCCCGAAACUAAGUGAGCUACUCCGAAGUAACUUAAGUAAACCCGUCUCUGUGGCAAAAGAGUGGGAAAACCUCCGAGUAGAAGUGACAUACCAACCGAACUUAGUGAUAGCUGGUUACUCAAGAAAAGAAUUUUAGUUCUAUCCUAGGGCAUUUAAGCAAUAUGUACACCCAUAAGCAAACCUACCUACCCUGGGACCUAUUCAAUAAGGGUACAGGCUUAUUGAAAAAGGAUACAACCUAGAACCCUGGCUAACGAUUACCACUGCUAUAGACUAAGUUGGCCUAAGAGCAGCCACCUUUUAAAAAGCGUCAAAGCUUACUCUAAGCCCCCCCCCCAAUUCCCCUCAUCACCCGGAACCCGGUAUCAGUAUUGAGUCUUCCUAUACCUUUAUAGAAGAGUUAAUGUUAGAACUAGUAACACAGAAUUUUUUCUCCCUAUGUAAGUGUAAAUCAGAUCGAAUAAAUCGCUGAUAAUUACUCGGUGAUGAGACUAAUGUAAUAACCCCACCCUAGAAAACCCUACCACUUUACCCGUUAACCUAACACAAGAACAUUAGAGAAAGAUUAAAAGACAAAGAAGGAACUCGGCAAACUCAAGUCCCGCCUGUUUACCAAAAACAUCGCCUCUUGUAAUUUAUAUGAGGUAAUGCCUUCCCCAGUGACCAUGUGUUCAACGGCCGCAGUAUUUUAACCGCGCGAAGGUAGCGUAAUCACUUGUUUUCUAAAUAAAGACUAGUAUGAACGGCCACACGAGGACUUAACUGUCUCCUUUGUCUAAUCAGUGAAACUGAUCCCCCCGUGCAGAAGCGGGGAUAACACCAUAAGACGAGAAGACCCUAUGGAGCUUUAAACCAAACUAACUACCUCUCUUAACCUCUAAGGAACUAAUUUGACAAGGUUAGAUUAAUUUAGGUUUUAGGUUGGGGCGACCAUGAAGAAAAACUUAACCUUCUUGACGAUUUACAAACCAAGAGCUACAGCUCUAAGUAUUAAGAUACUUAACCCUCAUUGACCCACUUUGUGAUCAACGGACCAAGUUACCCUAGGGAUAACAGCGCAAUCCAUUUCAAGAGUCCUUAUCGACAAAUGGGUUUACGACCUCGAUGUUGGAUCAGGGCACCCAAGUGGUGCAACCGCUACUAACGGUUCGUUUGUUCAACGAUUAAAGC
Molecule: ribosomal RNA, 1413 nt
Filed under: Pelobatrachus kalimantanensis (Kalimantan horned frog)
Lineage: Eukaryota; Metazoa; Chordata; Amphibia; Anura; Megophryidae
Description: partial 16S ribosomal RNA
Rfam family: Bacterial large subunit ribosomal RNA
Source: RNAcentral